AAACGCCCCCUUUGCCUCUACUGCAGCCUCUCAGAGCAGUUGCUUCUUCUGUAAAAUCUUGAAGGUUGCUGGGUUUUGUGGGUUUUAAACCUUUACCAAGAAAGAAAAAAUGUCUGGAGAGGAUGCUGCUGUUGCUGUUCCCGCUGUCGAGACUCCUGCUCCAGCACUUGGAGAGCCCAUGGAUAUCAUGACUGCUCUGCAGCUGGUGCUCAGGAAGUCUAAAGCUCAUGGAGGGCUUGCUCGAGGACUUCAUGAAGGUGCUAAGGUCAUUGAGAAGCAUGCUGCACAGCUUUGUGUGCUAGCAGAGGACUGUGAUCAGCCAGAUUAUGUCAAACUGGUGAAAGGACUUUGUGCUGAUCACAACGUCAGUUUGAUUACAGUUCCCAAUGCAAAGACUCUUGGCGAAUGGGCUGGUUUAUGUAAGAUUGAUUCUGAAGGUAAAGCAAGGAAGGUUGUUGGUUGUGGCUGUGUUGUCGUGAAGGAUUACGGUGAAGAGACUGAGGGUCUCCAUAUCGUCCAAGAGUAUGUGAAGUCUCAUUAGAUAGAAAUUGGAGAUGGAGCUUUAGGACCCCCUGAGGCUAUGUUUUUCUAUAUUUAUCUGUGCUUGCAUUAGAGUUGAGUUUUUGAUAUUUCAAUUUUGUUUUCCCAUCAGGGAGGAUCGUCUAAUACUAAGUCGAAAUCUCUUAAGUAAUGAUCCCAUUUCCUGCAUAUUCUUAACAAAGUCUCACUUUUUUGGGUGAAAAUGUUUACUACAAGAACACAGUUUUAUCGCACGGGGCAAUAUUCUAUCUUCUUUUAAGAACAAAUAAUUAUAUUACAGUUUUAAUUUAUA
This 832-nucleotide unclassified non-coding RNA is filed under the name Hevea brasiliensis (rubber tree). Lineage: Eukaryota; Viridiplantae; Streptophyta; Magnoliopsida; Malpighiales; Euphorbiaceae. The record is from RNAcentral.